RNAcentral lists this long non-coding RNA (630 nucleotides) under Carassius auratus (goldfish). RNAcentral describes it as "lncRNA (ENSCARG00000042158.1)". Lineage: Eukaryota; Metazoa; Chordata; Actinopteri; Cypriniformes; Cyprinidae. The record is from RNAcentral.
AUGGAUGCUAUCUACGGAAGUCGACCUGCGAGCAAUGGGAGAGAGGGUGCCCUGGACUCGGCCACCUCGUUGUUGGACAACACAAUUGAGGAUGAUGCACUGUCUAUGACUGAAUCGUUAGCACUUUCUCCGUGCAGUGAUGCCUUAGCGUCCCAACUGGUGAUAGCAGCGUCGCCACCAGCACGACCGUCGACACCAGCAACCUCCAGCAGCACCAGCAGGACACCAGAGCGUGUGGUACCAGGCUGCAAAGGCAGCAGAUAUUGGUGGUUCUUCACUGGAUGAUGCUACGAGGAGGAUGAGAUUCCUGAUUUCAAAUGAAUUGGCGAUCCAGUACAAUCUCUUUGGCCGUCUAAGCAAAAGAGGAGAUUUCGAGAUCUGUGCCUCUUUGCCGUCAUAUGUGGUAAAUGUGUUUUUAAUGUUAUUUAAUGUAAUUGAAUGACAUAAUUUUUAUUUUUGGGUGAACUAUCCCUUUAAUAUAUCAAUCUAGAAGUAAAUGCAAAAGUAAAAAGCAUUCAAUAAUGUGUUUCUUUUAUUUCAUUUAAACAAAUCUAUGAAAGAUUGUAUUGCUGUACUGAACGAAUAAUAAUAAUAAAAAAUCACAAAGCUGAAAAAGCAUUUUCAGGAACA